This 488-nucleotide RNase P RNA is filed under the name Inhella sp. RNAcentral's name for it is "RNase P RNA component class A". It matches the Rfam family "Bacterial RNase P class A". From Rfam's summary of the family: Ribonuclease P (RNase P) is a ubiquitous endoribonuclease, found in archaea, bacteria and eukarya as well as chloroplasts and mitochondria. Lineage: Bacteria; Pseudomonadati; Pseudomonadota; Betaproteobacteria; Burkholderiales; Sphaerotilaceae. The record is from RNAcentral.
GAAGCGCUCCAGACCGCCGCUGGUGCAAGUCCCGAAAGGGCGCACUGGAGGAAGGUCCGGACUGCACAGAGCAGCGUAGUGGGUAACACCCAUCCCUCGUGAGGGGCGGAUCAGAGCAACAGAGACGAGUCUGGGUGGGCAAAGCAGGCGCGGUGCAAGCUGCCACUGCUUGAGGCCGUACCGAGGUGGUCUGCGAGGCACAGGCGCAAGCCUGUGGCCCGACCGGCGCAAGCCGGGCGGGCGGCGCGCAAGCGUCGACCGAACAGCACCCUCGGGCGGCUGCGGGCGCCUUCGGCGCCCGACCCGCCCAGGGUGAAACGGGCAAUCUCUACGCGCAGCAACACCAAAUAGGCCGACGUUGACGUGGCUCGCGGAGUCGGCGGGUAGGUGGCAUCGAGCCGGGGUGAGAGCCUCGGCCCAGAGGAAUGGCGGUCGCCGGUCUCGAAAGAGGCCGGACACAGAAUCCGGCCUAUCGGGGCGCUUCACGA